Molecule: long non-coding RNA, 1853 nt
Organism: Oreochromis niloticus (Nile tilapia)
Lineage: Eukaryota; Metazoa; Chordata; Actinopteri; Cichliformes; Cichlidae
Exons: 3
Source: RefSeq, a predicted model, not a curated record
UUCAACACCUGUGCUGUAGACAGUCACUGUUGUACCUCUCUCCUGACUUCUGUCGUGCAUAUUGACAAUGAUUUAAACCAAAGAAUUUCAGAUCUGGAUUCAUCACUCUACAAGACCUGUUGCCAUUAAUUUGCAGUCCGGUUCUUAUAUAAUUUCCCAAACCUCAGCCACCUCUUCACUGAGACCAUUUCUCAUGAGGCUUCAGUGAACAGUACAUGGAUCAACUGCAGCGCGAGAGUCAUCUCUCAGUACGAUCCUUUGAUCUUUCACUUCUAUCUUAUAAGCCUGACAGAGAAGAGUUAAGAUGCAGCUGUGUAUCAACAGCAGAGCACACGAGGACACUACACAAGGUUCCCAGUACCGCCACAGAAAGCCGACCACCGCCACCAUGCCAGCUAUGCAUCCCGUUUCUGACACAUGCCAACUUAGCCUGCUGCACUAGUCAGCUGAACACAGAUCCAGUUUCCCCUUCUUAAUACCCCUAACAAGCCUUUUCCCUCAGCAGCCAAGUGUCAAGCCUAUCAAAGUCACCUAACGGGAUGACUCUGCCUUCCACACACAGCAACACAAAAACAAAGGGAAAGCAGGAGCACUAACCAUGACACACGCUCUAAUUUUUUGCCAUUUCUCCUCAUUUGCAAGACGUAAGAUGCAAACAGAUACCGACUAACAGUCACAAGAUGGAUACCUAAUUAUAUUUGCAUGGUUUGUUUUCAUCACUUUCCCAGCGGGAUGGUGAGAAGUAUGAGGGAAGACAUAUGGUUUGAUGCCAUUUCUUACACCAGGAUCCAGGAGCACAACUAAAUAACAGAAGCCUGACAGCUAAUACUGGUGUAGAAAGAAUAAUCUCUCCAUGUAAAGAAAAAAUGUUAUUAUAGAAUAACUUUAGAGAAGACUUUCCUUUACAGUGUAUUUGUUCUUUACUCAUAGCCAGGUCGAGAGCCAGCCAUCACAGGCAUCACAUCACAGCAAUGUUUAAAAUUUAUUUCACAUAACUUAUAUUUAUUUAGAAAUGUAUUCAAAAUUACAUUUAAAAUAAAUAAUUUAAUGUUUGGUGUGGAGAAAAAUCAAAAUAUAUAUGAAAAUUUUCAAUCAUUUGAUCAACUGGUUAACAUUGCAAUAAUGGUUACUAUACAAAUAGUGAUGAAUAUUAGUCCAGAGUCAUGUGUACCAUUGGAGUGUUGCAUGAACAACAAACCAAAACAAUGCUCAGUAUUUACAUUCAAUAUGGCUGAAAAAACACGGCUAUUUUCUGCAGUUACUGUCAGUUACAUGUUCACAGGGAGUCCCGUGGUGCUGCACUAAUAUAGAAGAUCUUUGCUUAGCUUGGAAAAAUAGUCUGUCGUUCUAUUUUAUUUUAUUUUUUUUAAAAAGCCUUCUCACUAUUCAUCACUGAUUGAAGAAAAUAAGAACAACCCCAGGUUUCUUUUAAUCUUAACUAAUAAAGACUUCAUCAUUUUUUUGCAAAUAAAAUUUUAACCAUUAAAGAAAAAAAUGUUUUCAUAACCAUCUCACGGCUGUAUCAUUAUGAACAGCAACUUUGAUAACUCUUGUUUUUUUAUUUAAGCUAACUUGCUUAUAGAUCUUUCAAAACUAACUUCAACAAUUCCUCUAAAUCAUAAAAAUAUCUAUCAUACCCCAUUCCUACAAGAUUAAAGAAGUCUUACCAUUAUUUAAAGCUACGAUUUUAAAUGCAAUUAAUUUAUUUCUAUUAACAGGAUAUGCACCACAGGUUUUCAAGGUGGCUGUAAUUAAACCGUCUUAGCUAACUAUAUGCCAUUCUACGAUCUUCCUCUUAUUUCUAAAAUCCUUGAAAGAGUGGUUUUGAAACAGUAAACAGAUUAUUUGCAGAG